RNAcentral lists this long non-coding RNA (650 nucleotides) under Physeter macrocephalus (sperm whale). RNAcentral's name for it is "Physeter catodon (sperm whale) lncRNA (ENSPCTG00005022427.1)". The record is from RNAcentral. Lineage: Eukaryota; Metazoa; Chordata; Mammalia; Artiodactyla; Physeteridae.
ACCCACCGCCGAGCGAAUGGAGCCUCAAGGCCAGCCUCGCUGACACGAUGUUCCCGUGCGGCACGCCCGCCCCCCAGAAGUCCUGGAACCCGCAUUUCUGGCCCAAGUACCCAGAAAUAUCCUGUCCCCUUCCACACAUUUCUGGGCUCCUCGUUUAGGAUCAGGUGAGCUAAAGAAACUGAAAGCCCCCUUCUCCUCACGAGGCGGGUCUGAGGCCCAUCCCCCUCCCCACCCUCCGCUUAGCCUCUGAGAGGGCCUGGGGGCCCUCCCUCUGCUGGAGGGUGUGGCCUUUAAGAGUGCCCUGGGGAGAGGGAGCCGCAGGAAUCUUAAGGAAUCUGACCAGUUCCUUCGGCGCGAGAGUAUUGUUGCCCUGGGCGGGGCUGCUGGGCUUAAAAAGCUGGAACCCACCUGGGCUGGAUGCAGCCCCAGGAGCCUCCUCAGACCAGCUCUCUGCACUCAGCUCUCAGCCUAGCCCUGCCGCUGUGUCAUGGAGGGAGUGGUCCGGGGCCUCCUCCUGCUGGCAGGCCUGCCCGUCCUGGAAGCCAAUGACCUGGUUGAUAAAGACAGUCCCUUCUACUAUGGUAAGAGCUCAUAUCCCUUGCCCCCCUGGCCUAUCCUGGACCUCUCUGCUAGAGGUUGGUGAGGGGUGA